UAAUGUUUAAUUUGUAAGUUGCUCUGGAUAAGAGCGUCUGCUAAAUGACUUAAA
Molecule: non-coding RNA, 54 nt
Organism: Salmo salar (Atlantic salmon)
Lineage: Eukaryota; Metazoa; Chordata; Actinopteri; Salmoniformes; Salmonidae
Source: Rfam